AACGAACGCUGGCGGCGUGCCUAACACAUGCAAGUCGUGCGAGAAAGUUUCCUUCGGGAGGCGAGUAAAGCGGCGCACGGGUGAGUAACACGUAGGUAACCUACCUUUCAGUCCGGAAUAACCAGCUGAAAAGCUGGCUAAUGCCGGGUAAGACCACGAUCUCUGCGGAGAUCGCGGCCAAAGGCGGCCUCUUCAUGAAAGCUGAUGCUGAUAGAUGGGCCUGCGCACCAUUAGCUAGUUGGCGAGGUAACGGCUCACCAAGGCUUUGAUGGUUAGCUGGUCUGAGAGGAUGACCAGCCACACUGGGACUGAGACACGGCCCAGACUCCUACGGGAGGCUG
This 341-nucleotide ribosomal RNA is filed under the name uncultured Pseudomonadota bacterium. Its description in RNAcentral is "bacterial SSU rRNA". It matches the Rfam family "Bacterial small subunit ribosomal RNA", at positions 29 to 351 of the family's 1533-position model. Lineage: Bacteria; Pseudomonadati; Pseudomonadota. The record is from RNAcentral.